GGCGGUGCGCCUUAUGCAUGCAAGUCGAGCGAAGCUUUUCAGUAGUUUACUACAGAAAAUGACUGAGCGGCGAACGGGUGAGUAACGCGUGAGCAAUCUACCUUAGUUACAGGGAUAGCCCGAGGAAACUCGGAUUAAUACCUGAUAUUCUUUAUAUUUCGCAUGAAAUUAAAAGGAAAGGUCAGCCGAACUAAGAUGAGCUCGCGUUCUAUCAGCUAGUUGGUGAGGUAAAAGCUCACCAAGGCUACGACGGAUAGCUGGUCUGAGAGGACGAUCAGCCACACUGGGACUGAGACACGGCCCAGACUCCUACGGGAGGCUGUAGCAGGGAAUAUUGCGCAAUGAGCGAAAGCUUGACGCAGCGACACCGCGUGUGGGAUGACGGAUCUAGGUUUGUAAACCACUUUCAGGAGGGAAGAAAAUGACGGUACCUCCACAAGAAGCCCCGGCCAACUACGUGCCAGCAGCCGCGGUAAUACGUAGGGGGCGAGCGUUGUCCGGAUUUAUUGGGCGUAAAGAGCUCG
RNAcentral lists this ribosomal RNA (524 nucleotides) under uncultured bacterium. RNAcentral describes it as "bacterial SSU rRNA". It matches the Rfam family "Bacterial small subunit ribosomal RNA", at positions 38 to 571 of the family's 1533-position model. The record is from RNAcentral.